CACGUAGGCACCAAGCGUUGUCCGGAUUUAUUGGGCGUAAAGAGCUCGUAGGCGGUUCGGUAAGUCGGGUGUGAAAUCCCCGGGCUCAACCUGGGAACUGCAUCCGAAACUGCCUUGCUCGAGUAUGGGAGAGGGAAGUGGAAUUUCCGGUGUAGCGGUGAAAUGCGUAGAUAUCGGAAGGAACAUCAGUGGCGAAGGCGACUUCCUGGACCAAUACUGACGCUCAGGUGCGAAAGCGUGGGGAGCAAACAGG
This 253-nucleotide ribosomal RNA is filed under the name uncultured bacterium. RNAcentral describes it as "partial 16S ribosomal RNA". It matches the Rfam family "Bacterial small subunit ribosomal RNA", at positions 524 to 776 of the family's 1533-position model. The record is from RNAcentral.